This 1433-nucleotide ribosomal RNA is filed under the name Bacillus pumilus. RNAcentral's name for it is "16S ribosomal RNA". It matches the Rfam family "Bacterial small subunit ribosomal RNA". Lineage: Bacteria; Bacillati; Bacillota; Bacilli; Caryophanales; Bacillaceae. The record is from RNAcentral.
GGCGCCGUGCCUAAUACAUGCCCCUCGAGCGGACAGAAGGGAGCUUGCUCCCGGAUGUUAGCGGCGGAGGGAGAGUAACACGUGGGUAACCUGCCUGUAAGACUGGGAUAACUCCGGGAAACCGGAGCUAAUACCGGAUAGUUCCUUGAACCGCAUGGUUCAAGGAUGAAAGACGGUUUCGGCUGUCACUUACAGAUGGACCCGCGGCGCAUUAGCUAGUUGGUGGGGUAAUGGCUCACCAAGGCGACGAUGCGUAGCCGACCUGAGAGGGUGAUCGGCCACACUGGGACUGAGACACGGCCCAGACUCCUACGGGAGGCAGCAGUAGGGAAUCUUCCGCAAUGGACGAAAGUCUGACGGAGCAACGCCGCGUGAGUGAUGAAGGUUUUCGGAUCGUAAAGCUCUGUUGUUAGGGAAGAACAAGUGCGAGAGUAACUGCUCGCACCUUGACUGUACCUAACCAGAAAGCCACGGCUAACUACGUGCCAGCAGCCGCGGUAAUACGUAGGUGGCAAGCGUUGUCCGGAAUUAUUGGGGCGUAAAGGGCUCGCAGGCGGUUUCUUAAGUCUGAUGUGAAAGCCCCCGGCUCAACCGGGGAGGGUCAUUGGAAACUGGSAAACUUGASKSMMRARRRSGAGAGUGGAAUUCCACGUGUAGCGGUGAAAUGCGUAGAGAUGUGGAGGAACACCAGUGGCGAAGGCGACUCUCUGGUCUGUAACUGACGCUGAGGAGCGAAAGCGUGGGGAGCGAACAGGAUUAGAUACCCUGGUAGUCCACGCCGUAAACGAUGAGUGCUAAGUGUUAGGGGGUUUCCGCCCCUUAGUGCUGCAGCUAACGCAUUAAGCACUCCGCCUGGGGAGUACGGUCGCAAGACUGAAACUCAAAGGAAUUGACGGGGGCCCGCACAAGCGGUGGAGCAUGUGGUUUAAUUCGAAGCAACGCGAAGAACCUUACCAGGUCUUGACAUCCUCUGACAACCCUAGAGAUAGGGCUUUCCCUUCGGGGACAGAGUGACAGGUGGUGCAUGGUUGUCGUCAGCUCGUGUCGUGAGAUGUUGGGUUAAGUCCCGCAACGAGCGCAACCCUUGAUCUUAGUUGCCAGCAUUCAGUUGGGCACUCUAAGGUGACUGCCGGUGACAAACCGGAGGAAGGUGGGGAUGACGUCAAAUCAUCAUGCCCCUUAUGACCUGGGCUACACACGUGCUACAAUGGACAGAACAAAGGGCUGCAAGACCGCAAGGUUUAGCCAAUCCCAUAAAUCUGUUCUCAGUUCGGAUCGCAGUCUGCAACUCGACUGCGUGAAGCUGGAAUCGCUAGUAAUCGCGGAUCAGCAUGCCGCGGUGAAUACGUUCCCGGGCCUUGUACACACCGCCCGUCACACCACGAGAGUUUGCAACACCCGAAGUCGGUGAGGUAACCUUUAUGGAGCCAGCC